RNAcentral lists this ribosomal RNA (490 nucleotides) under uncultured bacterium. RNAcentral describes it as "partial 16S ribosomal RNA". It matches the Rfam family "Bacterial small subunit ribosomal RNA", at positions 30 to 507 of the family's 1533-position model. The record is from RNAcentral.
AUUGAACGCUGGCGGCAUGCUUUACACAUGCAAGUCGGACGGCAGCGGGGUAGUGCUUGCACUACUGCCGGCGAGUGGCGAACGGGUGAGUAAUAUAUUGGAACGUACCGAGUAAUGGGGGAUAACCAAUCGAAAGAUUGGCUAAUACCGCAUACGCUCUGAGGAGGAAAGCAGGGGACCUUCGGGCCUUGCGUUAUUCGAGCGGCCAAUAUCUGAUUAGCUAGUUGGUGGGGUAAGGGCCUACCAAGGCGACGAUCAGUAGCGGGUCUGAGAGGAUGAUCCGACACACUGGGACUGAGACACGGCCCAGACUCCUACGGGAGGCAGCAGUGGGGAAUUUUGGACAAUGGGCGCAAGCCUGAUCCAGCCAUGCCGCGUGUCUGAAGAAGGCCUUCGGGUUGUAAAGGACUUUUGUUAGGGAAGAAAAAGGAGCGGUUAAUACCCGUUUCUGCUGACGGUACCUAAAGAAUAAGCACCGGCUAACUACGUG